GCAUUUAUAGCUAAGAGGUCGAAAGCAGUGGACUCAUAAUCCAUAUUUAAUUAUUAUAUAAACAUCAAUGGUUCAAAUCCAUUUAAAUGCA
Molecule: transfer RNA, 91 nt
Filed under: Nephromyces sp. ex Molgula occidentalis
Lineage: Eukaryota; Apicomplexa; Aconoidasida; Nephromycida
Description: tRNA-Met
Rfam family: tRNA
About the family: Transfer RNA (tRNA) molecules are approximately 80 nucleotides in length.
Source: RNAcentral